RNAcentral lists this unclassified non-coding RNA (380 nucleotides) under uncultured bacterium. RNAcentral describes it as "contains 16S-23S intergenic spacer region". The record is from RNAcentral.
UCGUUGCUUGCGCAGGCAGUUUCACUAGAGUCCCCGACAUUACUCGCUGGCAACUAAUGAUGAGGGUUGCGCUCGUUGCGGGACUUAACCCAACACCUCACGGCACGAGCUGACGACAGCCGUGCAGCACCUGCGCACGCUCCCUCGCGGGUCGCUUGGCUUUCACCUCGCUACCACGUGCGUGUCAAGCCCGGGUAAGGUUCUUCGCGUUGCAUCGAAUUAAACCACACGCUCCGCUGCUUGUGCGGGCCCCCGUCAAUUCCUUUGAGUUUUAGCCUUGCGGCCGUAGUCCCCAGGCGGGGUGCUUAUUGCGUUAGCGACGGCACCGGGGGGGUCGAUACCCCCGACACCUAGCACCCAUCGUUUACGGCGUGGACUAC